GCUCCGGGGUCCCCGGGGUCCGGGUGAGGGCGAGUAUCCUGCCCAGCCCUCCUCCCGCCUGCUCUCCCGAGUUCCCGUAACUUCCCUGCGUCCCGAGGCCCAGCAAUCCUGCCAAGACCCCCGGAGCGUCAGGAGCAGCUGGCUAGUGCGCAGCGGACGCCCUGCCCGGGUCCACAGAGGAGACGGUGCAAAGCGAGGGUGGGGGUCGGGGGGAGGAGUGUCCCUGCGGCAGCCCCGGAGCCACAGCGCCCUCUCUGGGCGGUGACGGAGUUUUCCCAGAUGGCGGAUGAGUGGGGUCCGGACCCACGGAUCCUCGGGGAGCGGAGGUCAGGCACCGGGGCGGCCCGGGUCCCCACUGCGGGCGCACCUUUGUGGCGGAUGCUGCGCUUCCAGUCCUUGGCCGUCUCGCGGCCGCUGACGAACUGGAAUUCGUUGGGGGUGACAAAGGUGAGACACAGAAAAGUCAAGUAACACUCCUGAUGUCACCCGGCUGUUUCACAUCCAGUACAAACAGUAUCUGCGCCAAGGUGUGGGGCAAGAAGACCCACUGCCCACUCAUCCUCAGCUGAGGCACCAAGACCAGCGUGCGGAUGGCGGUCUGGGGUCAGACCAGGAACUGACUGGUCAGUGCACCCGAACUUCUGCACCCCUUCUGUUUCCUCCACUCCCGGUACAUCUGUCUGCUGAUGGGAAAAUUGUGGCUCUGCAUCUCCAGCUUCAGCCCAAACACUCAAGAGUCUACAGCUUGCCAUGUGCGUCCACUCACAGUCCCUACAGCCCUUGCCCUUCACUAGGUCGCCUCACCACCGGGCCCCCAGUCACCAGAGAACUGCACUCACUUGGACUCCCCCCUGUGCUCCCUCCCAGGCCCCUCUCACCCCUCACUCCUUCCAUGAUAGCCCCAGACUCUGUCCAACUCAACUAGCGACUGAUGGGCACAUCGGCCUCUCUGCUUUCCAGGGCCUCCUCCGGGAACAGUCCGGGCUCCCUGCCCUCCAGGCCUUGCCUGGGCCCAGGAGCCCAGUCCCCAACAUCACUAUUCUGCACCCACUCAGGGCCCCAUUACAACUAGUGUAGUACCUUGCUUUUGCGAGCCUCCUCCAUUAAAAUGUGUAAAUUCUA
Myotis myotis is the source of this 1122-nucleotide long non-coding RNA. RefSeq lists it as uncharacterized. The record is from RefSeq and is a predicted model, not a curated record. The transcript has 4 exons. Lineage: Eukaryota; Metazoa; Chordata; Mammalia; Chiroptera; Vespertilionidae.